Long non-coding RNA from Phyllostomus discolor (pale spear-nosed bat), 117 nucleotides. RefSeq lists it as uncharacterized. The transcript is spliced from 3 exons. NCBI's taxonomy places the organism in Eukaryota, Metazoa, Chordata, Mammalia, Chiroptera, Phyllostomidae. The record is from RefSeq and is a predicted model, not a curated record.
UGGUUUGCCUUCUUUGUUUCUUUCUUUUUUUCAUCAUAGAUUUGCUUGUAAGCAGAUAAUGCACAGUGAACAUUCCUUUCUGUUAAUGAAAACCUUUUGCUGUUGGCAUCUACAUUU